This 2217-nucleotide long non-coding RNA is filed under the name Daucus carota (carrot). Its description in RNAcentral is "long non-coding RNA (DCAR_LNC005073)". Lineage: Eukaryota; Viridiplantae; Streptophyta; Magnoliopsida; Apiales; Apiaceae. The record is from RNAcentral.
GAGCUGCUCAACCACAAUAUUGUUCACUGCUCAACUGCAGAGUUUAAGAGCUGGUGUUCUAUUCUAGGAGUUGACAUUUGUGUCAAUGUGAACUAGAGACUUUAACACCCCCCCUCGAACUUAAGAUGGUUGCAGAACCAACUUGAGUUUGGAAAUGUAAUUGCGAAAAUUGCCAGGAGGUUGAGCUUUUGUGAAGAUAUCUGCAGUAUUAUCUGCACUCGUGACACUAUGUAAAUGAACUGUGCCUUUGGCAACUUGUUGACGAGUGAAAUGACAAUCGAUCUCUAUAUGUUUAGUGCGCUCAUGGAAGACGUCGUUGUGAGCAAUGUCUAUUGCGCUUUUGCUGUCACAGUAAAUAGAAGUGGCCGGAGAAUGAGUUACACUCAUAUCUUCAAGUAACCAUCGUAGCCAGAUUAAUUCCUGUGUGGUGUCAGCAAGAGCUCGAUAUUCAGACUCGGCACUUGAUCGAGAAGCAAGAGAUUGUUUCUUACUGCGCCAAGAAAUAAGAGAGUCGCCAAGAAAGAAACAAAAUCCAGUAGUGGAACAUCUGGUAGUAGGAUCACCGCCCCAAUCAGCAUCCGAGUAAGCAUGUAACUCAAGUGGAGAGUCAAAAGAAUAAUGUAAUCCAUGAAAUAUGGUGCCUUUAACAUAACGAAGUAUGUGAAGGACGGCUGUGAAGUGAGGAGUGCGAGGAGCUGCCAUGAACUGACUUACAAUAUGCACUGCAUGAGCAAUAUCUGGACGAGUGACAGUGAGAUAAAUUAAACUUCCAACCAAUUGGCGAUACAAUGUAGGAUUAGGAAGUAAUUCACCAUCUUUGGCGUUAAGUUUAUCCUCAUAAUCCAGAGGUGUAGAAACAAUCUUAGUGUCACUGAUUCCUGAUUUCAACAAAAGGUCAGAUGCAUACUUCACUUGUGAAAGAGAGUAGCCUGUAGGGACUGAAGUAACCUCAAGACCCAAGAAGUAGCUUAAUGAACCAAGAUCUUUCCUCUCAAAUUGCUGACUAAGAAAUUGUUUAAGUUCAGAAAUUCCCGCGUUGUCAUCUCCAGUAAUGAUCAUGUCAUCGACAUAUAGAAAAAGUAAAACAAUUCCUCGUUUUGAUCGUCGAAUGAAAAGAGCAUGAUCAUAUGGACUUGAAGAAAAGACGAUACAAUGUAGGAUUAGGAAGUAAUUCACCAUCUUUGGCGUUAAGUUUAUCCUCAUAAUCCAGAGGUGUAGAAACAAUCUUAGUGUCACUGAUUCCUGAUUUCAACAAAAGGUCAGAUGCAUACUUCACUUGUGAAAGAGAGUAGCCUGUAGGGACUGAAGUAACCUCAAGACCCAAGAAGUAGCUUAAUGAACCAAGAUCUUUCAUCUCAAAUUGCUGACUAAGAAAUUGUUUAAGUUCAGAAAUUCCCGCGUUGUCAUCUCCAGUAAUGAUCAUGUCAUCGACAUAUAGAAGAAGUAAAACAAUUCCUCGUUUUGAUCGUCGAAUGAAAAGAGCAUGAUCAUAUGGACUUGAAGAAAAUCCCAGUUGUUGAAUUAUUGUGCUGAAUUUCUCGAACCAAGCUCGAGGUGCCUGCUUAAGACCAUAAAGGGCUUUGUUAAGCUUGAACACUUGAUUUGGAGAGUGGGAAAAACCUGGAGGUGGUUUGAGAUAAACUUCCUCAUGUAGGUCUCCAUUAAGAAAAGCAUUCUUGACAUCCAUUUGCCACAUGUUCCAGUGUUUUGAUGCUCCAACAGCUAGUAAACUUCGAACAGAUGUGAGACGAGCAACUGGUGCAAAAGUUUCCUCGUAAUCAAUACCAUACUCUUGUGUAAAACCUCUAGCGACUAGACGAGCUUUGUAUCUGUCAAUAGAGCCAUCAGAUUUGGUUGUAAUUUUGUAGAUCCAUCGACAACUCACUGCAGUUUUAUCAGGUGGCAAAGUUACCAAAUCCCAAGUGUGAGUUUUGUCUAAAGCAUGAAGUUCCUCUUCCAUUGCUUUCUGCCAAAGAGGGUUAACACUCGCCUCUCUAUAUGUUUGAGGCUCAUGUAACGAUUGUAUAGCAGAAUAAACAUGAUAAUCAGUAAGUCGAACAGAAGGUUUUCUUACUCGAGUAGAGCGAACAGGCUCCUCUGAAAGAGAUGGUUGAGUGGAAGGCUCAAUAUUGGAAUCCUCAGACUGAACUUCUGUCAGGGGAACAUUGGUAGUCGGAGAUGGUUGAGUGAGCUCAAUUGAAGGAUCUCCUGAAAAUG